Molecule: ribosomal RNA, 429 nt
Filed under: Actinomycetes bacterium
Lineage: Bacteria; Bacillati; Actinomycetota; Actinomycetes
Description: Actinobacteria bacterium partial 16S ribosomal RNA
Rfam family: Bacterial small subunit ribosomal RNA
Source: RNAcentral
UAGGGAAUCUUCCGCAAUGGGCGAAAGCCUGACGGAGCAACGCCGCGUGAGUGAUGAAGGUCUUCGGAUCGUAAAACUCUGUUAUUAGGGAAGAACAAAUGUGUAAGUAACUAUGCACGUCUUGACGGUACCUAAUCAGAAAGCCACGGCUAACUACGUGCCAGCAGCCGCGGUAAUACGUAGGUGGCAAGCGUUAUCCGGAAUUAUUGGGCGUAAAGCGCGCGUAGGCGGUUUUUUAAGUCUGAUGUGAAAGCCCACGGCUCAACCGUGGAGGGUCAUUGGAAACUGGAAAACUUAAGUGCAGAAGAGGAAAGUGGAAUUCCAUGUGUAGCAGUGAAAUGCGCAGAGAUAUGGAGGAACACCAGUGGCGAGGGCGACUUUCUGGUCUGUAACUGACGCUGAUGUGCGAAAGCGUGGGGAUCAAACAGG